GACGAACGCUGGCGGCGUGCCUAAUACAUGCAAGUUGAGCGAUGAAGAUUGGUGCUUGCACCAAUUUGAAGAGCAGCGAACGGGUGGGUAACGCGUGGGGAAUCUGCCUUUGAGCGGGGGACAACAUUUGGAAACGAAUGCUAAUACCGCAUAACAACUUUAAACAUAAGUUUUAAGUUUGAAAGAUGCAAUUGCAUCACUCAAAGAUGAUCCCGCGUUGUAUUAGCUAGUUGGUGGGGUAAAGGCUCACCAAGGCGAUGAUACAUAGCCGACCUGAGAGGGUGAUCGGCCACAUUGGGACUGAGACACGGCCCAAACUCCUACGGGAGGCAGCAGUAGGGAAUCUUCGGCAAUGGACGAAAGUCUGACCGAGCAACGCCGCGUGAGUGAAGAAGGUUUUCGGAUCGUAAAACUCUGUUGGUAGAGAAGAACGUUGGUGAGAGUGGAAAGCUCAUCAAGUGACGGUAACUACCCAGAAAGGGACGGCUAACUACGUG
This 497-nucleotide ribosomal RNA is filed under the name uncultured bacterium. RNAcentral's name for it is "partial 16S ribosomal RNA". It matches the Rfam family "Bacterial small subunit ribosomal RNA", at positions 28 to 507 of the family's 1533-position model. The record is from RNAcentral.